RNAcentral lists this ribosomal RNA (253 nucleotides) under uncultured bacterium. Its description in RNAcentral is "partial 16S ribosomal RNA". It matches the Rfam family "Bacterial small subunit ribosomal RNA", at positions 524 to 776 of the family's 1533-position model. The record is from RNAcentral.
UACGUAGGGUGCAAGCGUUGUCCGGAAUUAUUGGGCGUAAGGAGCUCGUAGGCGGUUUGUCGCGUCUGCUGUGAAAACUCGAGGCUCAACCUCGGGCUUGCAGUGGGUACGGGCAGACUAGAGUGCGGUAGGGGAGACUGGAAUUCCUGGUGUAGCGGUGGAAUGCGCAGAUAUCAGGAGGAACACCGAUGGCGAAGGCAGGUCUCUGGGCCGCAACUGACGCUGAGGAGCGAAAGCAUGGGGAGCGAACAGG